This 253-nucleotide ribosomal RNA is filed under the name uncultured bacterium. Its description in RNAcentral is "partial 16S ribosomal RNA". It matches the Rfam family "Bacterial small subunit ribosomal RNA", at positions 524 to 776 of the family's 1533-position model. The record is from RNAcentral.
UACGAAGGGGGCUAGCGUUGCUCGGAAUCACUGGGCGUAAAGGGUGCGUAGGCGGGUCUUUAAGUCAGGGGUGAAAUCCUGGAGCUCAACUCCAGAACUGCCUUUGAUACUGAAGAUCUUGAGUUCGGGAGAGGUGAGUGGAACUGCGAGUGUAGAGGUGAAAUUCGUAGAUAUUCGCAAGAACACCAGUGGCGAAGGCGGCUCACUGGCCCGGUACUGACGCUGAGGUGCGAAAGCGUGGGGAGCAGACAGG